GACGAACGCUGGCGGCGUGCCUAAUACAUGCAAGUUGAGCGCUGAAGGUUGGUACUUGUACCAACUGGAUGAGCAGCGAACGGGUGAGUAACGCGUGGGGAAUCUGCCUUUGAGCGGGGGGCAACAUUUGGAAACGAAUGCUAAUACCGCAUAAAAACUUUAAACACAAGUUUUAAGUUUGAAAGAUGCAAUUGCAUCACUCAAAGAUGAUCCCGCGUUGUAUUAGCUAGUUGGUGAGGUAAAGGCUCACCAAGGCGAUGAUACAUAGCCGACCUGAGAGGGUGAUCGGCCACAUUGGGACUGAGACACGGCCCAAACUCCUGCGGGAGGCAGCAGUAGGGAAUCUUCGGCAAUGGACGAAAGUCUGACCGAGCAACGCCGCGUGAGUGAAGAAGGUUUUCGGAUCGUAAAACUCUGUUGGUAGAGAAGAACGUUGGUGAGAGUGGAAAGCUCAUCAAGUGACGGUAACUACCCAGAAAGGGACGGCUAACUACGUG
RNAcentral lists this ribosomal RNA (497 nucleotides) under uncultured bacterium. RNAcentral's name for it is "partial 16S ribosomal RNA". It matches the Rfam family "Bacterial small subunit ribosomal RNA", at positions 28 to 507 of the family's 1533-position model. The record is from RNAcentral.